Molecule: ribosomal RNA, 439 nt
Filed under: uncultured bacterium
Lineage: Bacteria
Description: partial 16S ribosomal RNA
Rfam family: Bacterial small subunit ribosomal RNA
Source: RNAcentral
CUACGGGAUGCUCCAGUGAGGAAUAUUGCACAAUGGGGGGAACCCUGAUGCAGCAACGCCGCGUGGAGGAUGACGCAUUUCGGUGUGUAAACUCCUUUUAUAUGUCAAGAAAAUGACGGUAGCAUAUGAAUAAGCACCGGCUAACUCCGUGCCAGCAGUCGCGGUAAUACGGAGGGUGCAAGCGUUACUCGGAAUCACUGGGCGUAAAGGACGCGUAGGCGGGUUGGAAAGUCAGGUGUGAAAUCCUACAGCUUAACUGUAGAACUGCACUUGAAACUUCUAAUCUAGAGUAUGGGAGGGGGAGAUGGAAUUAGUGGUGUAGGGGUGAAAUCCGUAGAUAUCACUAGGAAUACCUAAAGCGAAGGCGAUCUCCUGGAACAUUACUGACGCUAAGGCGUGAAAGCGUGGGGAGCAAACAGGAUUAGAUACCCUGGUAGUC